RNAcentral lists this ribosomal RNA (253 nucleotides) under uncultured bacterium. RNAcentral's name for it is "partial 16S ribosomal RNA". It matches the Rfam family "Bacterial small subunit ribosomal RNA", at positions 524 to 776 of the family's 1533-position model. The record is from RNAcentral.
UACGUAGGGUGCAAGCGUUAAUCGGAAUUACUGGGCGUAAAGCGUGCGCAGGCGGUUCUAUAAGACAGAUGUGAAAUCCCCGGGCUCAACCUGGGAACUGCAUUUGUGACUGUAGAGCUGGAGUACGGUAGAGGGGGAUGGAAUUCCGCGUGUAGCAGUGAAAUGCGUAGAGAUGCGGAGGAACACCGAUGGCGAAGGCAGCCCCCUGGGCUGACACUGACGCUCAGGCACGAAAGCGUGGGGAGCAAACAGG